This 325-nucleotide long non-coding RNA is filed under the name Elaeis guineensis (African oil palm). RNAcentral describes it as "long non-coding RNA (EGUI_LNC069446)". The record is from RNAcentral. Lineage: Eukaryota; Viridiplantae; Streptophyta; Magnoliopsida; Arecales; Arecaceae.
GCCCAUUUGAAUUCAUGAGAAGAAACUUCUCAUGAAUUUUCUCUCACGCAAAGCCCUUCCCACGCCCCACAUUUGUGCACCAUAUAGGUGAAUAAGGAUGGUUGGUUGGCCAUUCAAAUUCAAAACAAAGUUUGAAUUUGAAUGAGCAACCAAUCCAUGCGCCAUGUACUUAUCUUCUUUAGCGCCCCAUAUCUUACACGAGAAAGAGUUUCUCAUGAAACCUUUCCAUGCACCUUCUCUUCUCAUGCCCAAGUGGAUAGGGAUGAGUUGGUUUGCAUUUGAUUUCAAAUUUGAUUUGAAUUCAAAUGUGCAACCACUUAUCUUU